CGCAUGGUCCCAGCGCGCGUGCGCCCCUGAAGGCGGGUUCCGGUGGCAGCGCCGGGGUCUCAGACCCUGAGGAGACUGAGCCCAGCGCCAGGCGACCGGUCCCCGCCGCCGCCGCCCCUGCGCGGGAGAUCCCCCCUGCUUAGUCCGCGCCCGAGCCCCCGUCCGUGGGAACAGACAAGGGGCCUCCGCAGCGCCUCACAACCCCCGACCAGGUCCAGCGGCGGGGGACUCGGCCGUGGAGGGCGCUGUUCGGUCUGGAUGGCUCCCCCCAUCAGCGGGAGGCUACACCCCCCACCAGCAGGGGCAAGAGGAGCAGCGGGAUGGGAGCAGGCCAACGUCCUGCGGCCUGGUUGAGCUCGCACUGACAAUCGCAGGCCCAGUAACCCGCAGGUCACCGCGCUCCCCACCUGCGUUGCUGACGGUGACAUCGUCAGGGGAGGGGGGCGCGCCUUCCCAGAGGCUCAGGUCGCGAGGGUAGCCGGGGUCCGGGCGCGCCGCCGCCUCGUCGUAGCGCCAGUACUGCCGGCCGCGGACCAGUUGCUGCAGGCCAUCGCGGUCAUCCUGAGACAGGCGGUACUUGUCAGGGUCGCCCACCGGACCCUGGUAGAAGGGCCUCAUAAUGGAGUUGGGGGCUGAGGAGUGGCCCAGGCCCAGGGCGUGGCCAAACUCAUGGACAGCCACGGCAAACAGGUCGGUCCCCUCGCCGUCUGCAGGAGAAAGUGGGUGAGAGCUGCGGCCGCCCCUGCUUGGGGAAAGGGGCCACAGGAAGGCCCUGCGAGUGCAGCUGGGGCCAACAGGAACAGCAGGACACCCUCCAGAGGUGGCCCCAGCCUCCUCUGCCCAGCCCUUCCUGAACUCUCCAUCAUCCCUGUCUCCAGUCACUCAGUCAGCAUGGCUGUGAUGGACACUGGACCACAGGGCUGAAAAGAUCCAGAGAACACACAGAGGAAUAGGCCACCUUACACACCGAUGGGGCCCCUCCUCUGGGAAGGGAGCACUUUGUGCACAGAAGUUUGAGGGGGAGGAGCUGGGUGUGGUGGCUCAUGCCUGUAAACCCAGCACUUUUGGAGUCCCAGGUGGGAGGAUCGCUUGAGCCCAAGAGUUCAAGACUGGCCUGGACAACAUAAGGAGAUCCCCAUCUCUACAAAAAAAUUUUAAAAAUUGGCCAGGAGUGGUGGCGCAUGCCUGUGGUCCCAGCUACUCAGGUCCCAGGCUGAGGCAGGGAGGCAGGAGAAUCGCUGGAGCCCGGGAGGUGGAGGCUGCAGUGACGCAUGACCAUGUCAUUGCACUCCAGCCUGGAGGACAGAAUAAGGCCCCGUCUCAAAAAAAGUAAAAAGAAAAAAAAAGAAAAAGAAAAUAAAAGAAACUUAAGAGGGCGGUGGGGUGAGGGCAGGAGCCUACAAGGUGCGUGCCAUUCUCUUCAGGCAGCCCCAGCCCUGGGAGCAUCCCCUCCUCCCAGCUACAGUCUAUAGUCAGCGACCCCCACCCGUCUCCCCCUUGCCACCCCCAUCUGCUGGGGAUGUAGGUCCAUGUCCUUGACCCAAGACCUUCCCUCAUUCCUGCCCCCAUCCCUCCUCAAGCCAUAUCCCUUACAUCCCUUGAGUCCUCCAUCCCCCCUCCCCCAUCUCCCUGUUCACAGCCUCUGCCCCUCCUCUCCCUACCCUGUACCACCCCCACCCCAGGUCUUCCUCCAUCUCCUUGGGAACACAGAGCUCCUCUAGCAGGCACUCUCAGAACACAGCCUGCCGGCCCCAGCACCCGGCCUUGCUCCCAGCCUCUUCCCUCUGUAUUCAGCUCAGGCGCUCAGGACUGCCAGGACCCAGAGGAUUCACACGCCAGCCCCGGCUGAAGCCCAGCUCCUCAUCAACCGGUGAGCCGCCUGCCAGCUCCUGCUCCAGCUGCUGAGAGGCCUGAAGAGACCAAGACAGAGACACAGCCCCGCAGCACCACAGGGAGGCCCCAGUUACCCCAUGCGGAUGAGUUUCAUGGCCAUCUCUAACUAAGGUCAGCACUGUUCAGGGCAGGUUCAUAGGUAACGACCUGGUGAACUGAAAAGCAAAUUUCUCUCGGUCCCUAAAGCCACUCGCUGAGCGUCUAAGCAUGAAACGUGAGACCUAAGAGGGGUAGCAAACACGUUUUCGUUCACUUCUCACCAAACCUGUCUCCUAUGCCCAUUUUACAGAGGAGGAAACUGAGGCACAGAGACUUCAAGGUAGAUGGCCAGGUACCCUGGCUCUGCCAGCCUGCCUUUCAGCAGGGGCUUCAAUGGUCUUGCUCAAAUCACAUCCGCACUGACGAAUUUCCCUGUCGACUGUAGGUUCUCUUGUUGCUCUGAGUCCUUUUUCUGAGAAACUGGGGGUAGUUUGGUGUUUCAAUCAGGGCGAUAUCUUUCAUCUCUCACCUU
RNAcentral lists this long non-coding RNA (2404 nucleotides) under Homo sapiens (human). RNAcentral describes it as "HSALNT0384167". Lineage: Eukaryota; Metazoa; Chordata; Mammalia; Primates; Hominidae. The record is from RNAcentral.